UUAAAAAGUAACUGCUUAUCAUGUGUCAUGUGAUUAGAGGCACCUGAAUCUAUAAUUCAGGUGACAGAAUUGAUAUUGGUAAGUAAGCAGAGUUUGGAAUCAGAAAUGGAGCUCUCAGUUAACAUAGUACCAGCAAAGUUAGCAGCAUACAUGGGAGGAGGAGUCUGAGUAGUGGAUUCCCCUAACUGGUUCUGUUGUGAUAAAUUCAUCAACUGAUCAUAAUGUUGUCUGCUCAACCCCGAUAUCACAGAACUCUGGCCAUCUAUUUUUGCAACAGAUUGAUGGCUUUCAGGAGGAUUCCCUUG
Molecule: long non-coding RNA, 305 nt
Filed under: Nicotiana benthamiana
Lineage: Eukaryota; Viridiplantae; Streptophyta; Magnoliopsida; Solanales; Solanaceae
Description: long non-coding RNA (NBEN_LNC001808)
Source: RNAcentral